RNAcentral lists this ribosomal RNA (603 nucleotides) under uncultured fungus. RNAcentral describes it as "eukaryotic LSU rRNA". It matches the Rfam family "Eukaryotic large subunit ribosomal RNA", at positions 37 to 654 of the family's 3401-position model. Lineage: Eukaryota; Fungi. The record is from RNAcentral.
AGCAUAUCAAUAAGCGGAGGAAAAGAAACCAACAGGGAUUGCCCUAGUAACGGCGAGUGAAGCGGCAACAGCUCAAAUUUGAAAUCUGGCUCCUCUCCGGGGUCCGAGUUGUAAUUUGCAGAGGGUGCUUUGGUGUUGGCUGUGGUCCAAGUUCCCUGGAACAGGACGUCGCAGAGGGUGAGAACCCGUACGUGGCCGCCAGCCUUCGCCGUGUAAAGCCCCUUCGAAGAGUCGAGUUGUUUGGGAAUGCAGCUCUAAAUGGGAGGUAAAUUCCUUCUAAAGCUAAAUACUGGCCAGAGACCGAUAGCGCACAAGUAGAGUGAUCGAAAGAUGAAAAGCACUUUGGAAAGAGAGUGAAACAGCACGUGAAAUUGUUGAAAGGGAAGCGCUUGGAGCCAGACGUGCCCGUAGUUGCUCAGCUGGGGUCUUCCCCGGUGCACUCUUCUGCGGGCAGGCCAGCAUCAGUUUGGGCGGUUGGAUAAAUGCCUGCUAAACGUACCUCCCCCCGGGGAGGACUUAUAGGGUAGGCGGCAUACAACCAGCCCGGACUGAGGACCGCGCAUCUGCUAGGAUGCUGGCGUAAUGGCUGUAAGCGGCCCGUCU